CCAGACUCCUACGGGAGGCAGCAGUGAGGAAUAUUGGUCAAUGGACGCAAGUCUGAACCGGCCAUGCCGCGUGCAGGAAGACGGCUCUAUGAGUUGUAAACUGCUUUUGUACGAGGGUAAAUGCAGGUACGUGUAUCUGUUUGAAAGUAUCGUACGAAUAAGGAUCGGCUAACUCCGUGCCAGCAGCCGCGGUAAUACGGAGGAUCCAAGCGUUAUCCGGAUUUAUUGGGUUUAAAGGGUGCGUAGGCGGUUUUAUAAGUUAGAGGUGAAAUCUCGGGGCUCAACUCCGAAAUUGCCUCUAAUACUGUAGGACUAGAGAUCGGAUGCAGCAGGCGGAAUGUGUAGUGUAGCGGUGAAAUGCAUAGAUAUUACACAGAACACCGAUUGCGAAGGCAGCUUGCUAGGCCGGAUCUGACACUGAUGCACGAAAGCGUGGGGAUCGAACAGGAUUAGAUACCCCUGUAA
This 465-nucleotide ribosomal RNA is filed under the name uncultured bacterium. Its description in RNAcentral is "partial 16S ribosomal RNA". It matches the Rfam family "Bacterial small subunit ribosomal RNA", at positions 331 to 793 of the family's 1533-position model. The record is from RNAcentral.